RNAcentral lists this ribosomal RNA (165 nucleotides) under uncultured bacterium. RNAcentral's name for it is "partial 16S rRNA". It matches the Rfam family "Bacterial small subunit ribosomal RNA", at positions 355 to 511 of the family's 1533-position model. The record is from RNAcentral.
UAGGGAAUCUUCGGCAGUGGACGAAAGUCUGACCGAGCAACGCCGCGUGAGUGAAGAAGGUUUUCGGAUCGUAAAACUCUGUUGGUAGAGAAGAACGUUGGUGAGAGUGGAAAGCUCAUCAAGUGACGGUAACUACCCAGAAAGGGACGGCUAACUACGUGCCAG